AAGUGUUGUUAAGGAACUCGGCAAAAUGACUCCGUAACUUCGGGAGAAGGAGUGCCACAGAGAUGUGGCCGCAGAGAAAUGGCCCAAGCAACUGUUUAGCAAAAACACAGGCCUAUGCAAAACCGAAAGGUGAGGUAUAUGGGCUGACGCCUGCCCGGUGCUGGAAGGUUAAGAGGAGAGCUUAGCGCAAGCGAAGGUUUGAAUUUAAGCCCCAGUAAACGGCGGCCGUAACAAUAACGGUCCUAAGGUAGCGAAAUUCCUUGUCGGGUAAGUUCCGACCCGCACGAAAGGCGUAAUGAUUUGGGCACUGUCUCGACAACACACCCGGUGAAAUUGAAAUACCAGUGAAGAUGCUGGUUACCUGCGCCAGGACGGAAAGACCCCAUGGAGCUUUACUCCAGUUUGAUACUGGGAUUCGGUACUGUCUGUACAGGAUAGGUGGGAAGCUAGGAAAUGAUGACGCCAGUUGUCAUGGGGCUGACCUUGGGAUACCACCCUUACAGUACUGGGUUUCUAACCUGCAGCCGUGACCCGGCUGGGGGACAAUGUCUGACGGGGAGUUUGACUGGGGCGGUCGCCACCGAAAGGGUAUCGGAGGCGCUCAAAGGUUCCCUCAGAAUGGUCGGAAACCAUUCGAAGAGUGCAAAGGCAGAAGGGAGCUUGACUGCGACACCGACGGGUGGAGCAGGUACGAAAGUAGGACUUAGUGAUCCGGUGGUAUAACGUGGGAUUGCCAUCGCUCAACGGAUAAAAGCUACCCUGGGAUAACAGGCUUAUCACUCCCAAGAGUUCACAUCGACGGAGUGGUUUGGCACCUCGAUGUCGGCUCAUCGCAUCCUGGAGCUGUAGCAGGUUCCAAGGGUUGGGCUGUUCGCCCAUUAAAGCGGUACGCGAGCUGGGUUCAGAACGUCGUGAGACAGUUCGGUCCCUAUCCGGCGUGGGCGUAGGAUAUUUGAGAGGAGCUGUCCUUAGUACGAGAGGACCGGGAUGGACGGACCGCUGGUGUAUCUGUUGUUGACCAACAGCAUGGCAGAGUAGCCAAGUCCGGCAGGGAUAAACGCUGAAGGCAUCUAAGCGUGAAGCCCCCCUCAAGAUUAGAUAUCCCAUUCUUUAAAGAAAUAAGACCCCUUGAAGACUACGAGGUUGAUAGGUCUGAGGUGUAAGUGCGGUAACGCAUUCAGCUGACAGAUACUAAUAGGUCGAAGACUUAUCAAC
Molecule: ribosomal RNA, 1215 nt
Filed under: metagenome
Description: bacterial LSU rRNA
Rfam family: Bacterial large subunit ribosomal RNA
Source: RNAcentral